Molecule: ribosomal RNA, 251 nt
Filed under: uncultured prokaryote
Description: partial 16S rRNA
Rfam family: Bacterial small subunit ribosomal RNA
Source: RNAcentral
ACGGGGGGUGCGAGCGUUGUUCGGAAUUAUUGGGCGUAAAGAGCAUGUAGGCGGCUGAAUAAGUCAGAUGUGAAAUCCCUGGGCUCAACCCAGGACGUGCAAUUGAAACUAUUCGGCUAGAGUAGGGGAGAGGAAAUAGGAAUUCCAGGUGUAGAGGUGAAAUUCGUAGAUAUCAGGAGGAACACCGGUGGCGAAGGCGACUUACUAGCCCGUUACUGACGCUGAGGCGCGAAAGCGUGGGUAGCAAACAG